Molecule: non-coding RNA, 88 nt
Organism: Listeria monocytogenes EGD-e
Lineage: Bacteria; Bacillati; Bacillota; Bacilli; Caryophanales; Listeriaceae
Rfam family: RNA anti-toxin A
Source: Rfam
CUAUAUAAAUGAAAAGAGAGCCAUGCGUCAACAUGACUCUCUCGCAAACACCAUUUAAGAUGGUGACAGCCUUUUAUAUGAUUUAUUU